AAAUUUAUAUGGCAUAAAUAGAUCUUUGAAUUCUAAGAUUAAGGUUCGAAUCCUUCUUAUUUA
Molecule: transfer RNA, 63 nt
Filed under: Neomenia carinata
Lineage: Eukaryota; Metazoa; Mollusca; Solenogastres; Neomeniamorpha; Neomeniidae
Description: tRNA-Gly
Source: RNAcentral